GGUGCAUUAGAUUGCUGUGAAAAUAUCCCUAAGUACUUGAGAAGUACUAAGAGAUCAUUCCUCAUCUAUGAAGAAGGGCUAGAUGCUAAAAGUGAGAGGAUACACUAAUGCUGAUGGUAAAAUGUCUACAUCAGUAUAUAUUCUUGAACUAUGUUGGUUCGAUUUGUUGGAAGAGUUCCAAGCAAUCAACCAAUAAAAGCUGAAUAUACUAUAGAUGUGCAGGAUGCGUUCUGAUUCUUAUGAUA
This 245-nucleotide long non-coding RNA is filed under the name Elaeis guineensis (African oil palm). Its description in RNAcentral is "long non-coding RNA (EGUI_LNC080132)". The record is from RNAcentral. Lineage: Eukaryota; Viridiplantae; Streptophyta; Magnoliopsida; Arecales; Arecaceae.